This 257-nucleotide long non-coding RNA is filed under the name Brassica napus (rape). RNAcentral describes it as "long non-coding RNA (BNAP_LNC023908)". Lineage: Eukaryota; Viridiplantae; Streptophyta; Magnoliopsida; Brassicales; Brassicaceae. The record is from RNAcentral.
AGGUUGAGUGUGAUUAAAUGUAAAAGACAGGUUUGUGAGCAAGUUAAUUUCUCGAUUGAUUGAUUGGGGUUUUUGGUACUUAGAUGAAAGUAGCUAGACUUAGGGUCUUUAUUCAGGUAGUCAGGAUUAUAAUCCUACUGAUGCCUAAUAAGUUGUAAGCAUGAUAUUAUAGAGCUCAACACUUAAUAACAAACCAUUAGGCUCUCGCUUUCUAGGUUUGUCUAUUGACCAGUGUCGAUCGAUUAGUCUAUAAGAAU